Molecule: unclassified non-coding RNA, 440 nt
Filed under: Absidia stercoraria
Lineage: Eukaryota; Fungi; Mucoromycota; Mucoromycetes; Mucorales; Cunninghamellaceae
Description: sequence contains 18S rRNA gene, ITS1, 5.8S rRNA gene, ITS2, 28S rRNA gene
Rfam family: 5.8S ribosomal RNA (bases 199-349)
Source: RNAcentral
GAUCAUUAAAAAUGUGAGGGGUUGGCCGUAAGGUUGGCUCUUUCUUUUUAACCUGUGCACUGUUUAUUAGGCGUGGUAUUGAUUUUCAAUUCCCGCCGCCCGGGUGGCAUGAAUCAGUUCCCUUAGGGGGGCCGAGGAGUGCGCCCAAUUAUUUGACUAUUCUGACUGAUCAAACAAUGAAAUUGUUAACAUAUAAACAACUUUCAGCAAUGGAUCUCUCGGCUUUCGUAUCGAUGAAGAACGCAGCAAAUCGCGAUAUGUAGUGUGAUCUGCCUAUAGUGAAUCAUCAAAUUUUUGAACGCAUCUUGCACCCCUGGGUAUUCCUGGGGGUACGCCUGUUUCAGUAUCAUUAUUACCUCUCUUCAACCAACUUGUUGGUAGAUGGGAAACAUAACUACUGGCCCUGAGUCGCCUUUUAGGGGGCUUCACGGCUAAAAUGC